AAGCGUACACGGUGGAUGCCCUGGCAGUCAGAGGCGAUGAAGGACGUGCUAAUCUGCGAUAAGCGUCGGUAAGGUGAUAUGAACCGUUAUAACCGGCGAUUUCCGAAUGGGGAAACCCAGUGUGAUUUGUCACACUAUUAUUAACUGAAUCCAUAGGUUAAUGAGGCGAACCGGGGGAACUGAAACAUCUAAGUACCCCGAGGAAAAGAAAUCAACCGAGAUUCCCCCAGUAGCGGCGAGCGAACGGGGAGGAGCCCAGAGCCUGA
This 266-nucleotide ribosomal RNA is filed under the name Escherichia coli. RNAcentral's name for it is "partial 23S ribosomal RNA". It matches the Rfam family "Bacterial large subunit ribosomal RNA", at positions 13 to 279 of the family's 2925-position model. Lineage: Bacteria; Pseudomonadati; Pseudomonadota; Gammaproteobacteria; Enterobacterales; Enterobacteriaceae. The record is from RNAcentral.